RNAcentral lists this transfer RNA (68 nucleotides) under Microtus guentheri. RNAcentral describes it as "tRNA-Thr". Lineage: Eukaryota; Metazoa; Chordata; Mammalia; Rodentia; Cricetidae. The record is from RNAcentral.
GUCCUGAUAGUAUAAAAAUUACGCUGGUCUUGUAAACCAGUAAUGAAAAAAAAAAUUUUCUCAGGACA